RNAcentral lists this ribosomal RNA (1412 nucleotides) under Cylindrospermopsis raciborskii. RNAcentral describes it as "bacterial SSU rRNA". It matches the Rfam family "Bacterial small subunit ribosomal RNA". The record is from RNAcentral. Lineage: Bacteria; Bacillati; Cyanobacteriota; Cyanophyceae; Nostocales; Aphanizomenonaceae.
GAUGAACGCUGGCGGUAUGCUUAACACAUGCAAGUCGAACGGGAUGCUUAGGCAUCUAGUGGCGGACGGGUGAGUAACGCGUGAGAAUCUGGCUCCAGGUCGGGGAUAACAGUUGGAAACGACUGCUAAUACCGGAUGUGCCGAGAGGUGAAAGAUUUAUUGCCUGGAGAUGAGCUCGCGUCUGAUUAGCUAGUUGGUGGUGUAAGGGACCACCAAGGCGUCGAUCAGUAGCUGGUCUGAGAGGAUGAUCAGCCACACUGGGACUGAGACACGGCCCAGACUCCUACGGGAGGCAGCAGUGGGGAAUUUUCCGCAAUGGGCGAAAGCCUGACGGAGCAAUACCGCGUGAGGGAGGAAGGCUCUUGGGUCGUAAACCUCUUUUCUCAAGGAAGAAGAAAGUGACGGUACUUGAGGAAUAAGCAUCGGCUAACUCCGUGCCAGCAGCCGCGGUAAUACGGAGGAUGCAAGCGUUAUCCGGAAUGAUUGGGCGUAAAGGGUCUGCAGGUGGAACUGAAAGUCUGCUGUUAAAGAGUUUGGCUUAACCAAAUAAAAGCGGUGGAAACUACAGAACUAGAGUGUGGUAGGGGCAAAAGGAAUUCCUGGUGUAGCGGUGAAAUGCGUAGAUAUCAGGAAGAACACCGGUGGCGAAAGCGUUUUGCUAGACCAUAACUGACACUGAGGGACGAAAGCUAGGGGAGCGAAUGGGAUUAGAUACCCCAGUAGUCCUAGCCGUAAACGAUGGAUACUAGGCGUGGCUUGUAUCGACCCGAGCCGUGCCGGAGCUAACGCGUUAAGUAUCCCGCCUGGGGAGUACGCACGCAAGUGUGAAACUCAAAGGAAUUGACGGGGGCCCGCACAAGCGGUGGAGUAUGUGGUUUAAUUCGAUGCAACGCGAAGAACCUUACCAAGACUUGACAUCCUGCGAAUCCUGGUGAAAGCUGGGAGUGCCUUAGGGAGCGCAGAGACAGGUGGUGCAUGGCUGUCGUCAGCUCGUGUCGUGAGAUGUUGGGUUAAGUCCCGCAACGAGCGCAACCCUCGUUUUUAGUUGCCAGCAUUAAGUUGGGCACUCUAGAGAGACUGCCGGUGACAAACCGGAGGAAGGUGAGGAUGACGUCAAGUCAGCAUGCCCCUUACGUCUUGGGCUACACACGUACUACAAUGCUACGGACAGAGGGCAGCGAGCCAGGGAUGGCAAGCGAAUCCAGAAACCGUAGCUCAGUUCAGAUCGAAGGCUGCAACUCGCCUUCGUGAAGGAGGAAUCGCUAGUAAUUGCAGGUCAGCAUACUGCAGUGAAUUCGUUCCCGGGCCUUGUACACACCGCCCGUCACACCAUGGAAGUUGGUCACGCCCGAAGUCAUUACCCCAACCGAAAGGAGGGGGAUGCCUAAGGUAGGACUGGUGACUGGGGUGAA